RNAcentral lists this ribosomal RNA (800 nucleotides) under uncultured bacterium. RNAcentral describes it as "bacterial SSU rRNA". It matches the Rfam family "Bacterial small subunit ribosomal RNA", at positions 8 to 808 of the family's 1533-position model. The record is from RNAcentral.
AGAGUUUGAUCAUGGCUCAGGAUGAACGCUGGCGGCGUGCCUAACACAUGCAAGUCGAACGAAGCACAUUUACCGGAUUCUUCGGAAGAAGGUAAUUGUGACUGAGUGGCGGACGGGUGAGUAACGCGUGGGGAACCUGCCUCAUACAGGGGGAUAACAGUUAGAAAUGACUGCUAAUACCGCAUAAGACCACAGCACCGCAUGGUGGAGUGGUAAAAACUCCGGUGGUAUGAGAUGGCCCCGCGUCUGAUUAGCUGGUUGGUGAGGUAAGGGCUCACCAAGGCGACGAUCAGUAGCCGACCUGAGAGGGUGACCGGCCACAUUGGGACUGAGACACGGCCCAAACUCCUACGGGAGGCAGCAGUGGGGAAUAUUGCACAAUGGGGGAAACCCUGAUGCAGCGACGCCGCGUGAAGGAAGAAGUAUUUCGGUAUGUAAACUUCUAUCAGCAGGGAAGAAAAUGACGGUACCUGACUAAGAAGCCCCGGCUAACUACGUGCCAGCAGCCGCGGUAAUACGUAGGGGGCAAGCGUUAUCCGGAUUUACUGGGUGUAAAGGGAGCGUAGACGGUAUGGCAAGUCUGAUGUGAAAACCCGAGGCUCAACCGCGGGAUUGCAUUGGAAACUGCCAGACUAGAGUGUCGGAGAGGCAAGUGGAAUUCCUAGUGUAGCGGUGAAAUGCGUAGAUAUUAGGAGGAACACCAGUGGCGAAGGCGGCUUGCUGGACGAUGACUGACGUUGAGGCUCGAAAGCGUGGGGAGCAAACAGGAUUAGAUACCCUGGUAGUCCACGCCGUAAACG